Molecule: ribosomal RNA, 468 nt
Filed under: uncultured bacterium
Lineage: Bacteria
Description: partial 16S ribosomal RNA
Rfam family: Bacterial small subunit ribosomal RNA
Source: RNAcentral
GACGAACGCUGGCGGCGUGCUUAACACAUGCAAGUCGAACGGAAAGGCCCUGCUUUUGUGGGGUGCUCGAGUGGCGAACGGGUGAGUAACACGUGAGUAACCUGCCCUUGACUUUGGGAUAACUUCAGGAAACUGGGGCUAAUACCGGAUAGGAGCUCCUGCUGCAUGGUGGGGGUUGGAAAGUUUCGGCGGUUGGGGAUGGACUCGCGGCUUAUCAGCUUGUUGGUGGGGUAGUGGCUUACCAAGGCUUUGACGGGUAGCCGGCCUGAGAGGGUGACCGGCCACAUUAGGACUGCGAUACGGCCCAGACUCCUACGGGAGACAGCAGUGGGAAAUAUUGCACAAUGGGCGGAAGCCUGAUGCAGCAACGCCGCGUGCGGGAUGACGGCCUUCGGGUUGUAAACCGCUUUCGCCUGUGACGAAGCGUGAGUGACGGUAAUGGGUAAAGAAGCACCGGCUAACUACGUG